This 27-nucleotide small RNA is filed under the name Bombyx mori (domestic silkworm). RNAcentral describes it as "ovarian small RNA-25120". The record is from RNAcentral. Lineage: Eukaryota; Metazoa; Arthropoda; Insecta; Lepidoptera; Bombycidae.
UCACCAUGCCUUACUUUUUGUAUGUGA